UGGGGAAUUUUGGACAAUGGGCGAAAGCCUGAUCCAGCAAUGCCGCGUGUGUGAAGAAGGCCUUCGGGUUGUAAAGCACUUUUGUCCGGAAAGAAAUCCUUGGCUCUAAUACAGUCGGGGGAUGACGGUACCGGAAGAAUAAGCACCGGCUAACUACGUGCCAGCAGCCGCGGUAAUACGUAGGGUGCAAGCGUUAAUCGGAAUUACUGGGCGUAAAGCGUGCGCAGGCGGUUUGCUAAGACCGAUGUGAAAUCCCCGGGCUCAACCUGGGAACUGCAUUGGUGACUGGCAGGCUAGAGUAUGGCAGAGGGGGGUAGAAUUCCACGUGUAGCAGUGAAAUGCGUAGAGAUGUGGAGGAAUACCGAUGGCGAAGGCAGCCCCCUGGGCCAAUACUGACGCUCAUGCACGAAAGCGUGGGGAGCAAACAGGAUUAGAUACCCUGGUAGUCCACGCCCUAAACGAUGUCAACUAGUUGUUGGGGAUUCAUUCCUUAGUAACGUAGCUAACGCGUGAAGUUGACCGCCUGGGGAGUACGGUCGCAAGAUUAAAACUCAAAUGAAUUGACGGGGUCAUAGCUGUU
This 580-nucleotide ribosomal RNA is filed under the name uncultured bacterium. RNAcentral describes it as "partial 16S ribosomal RNA". It matches the Rfam family "Bacterial small subunit ribosomal RNA", at positions 355 to 933 of the family's 1533-position model. The record is from RNAcentral.